GAUGAAGAACGCAGUGAAAUGCGAUAAGUAAUGUGAAUUGCAGAAUUCAGUGAAUCAUCGAAUCUUUGAACGCACAUUGCGCCCGCCAGUAUUCUGGCGGGCAGGCCUGUCUGAGCGUCAUUUCAACCCUCAUGCCCCUAGGGCGUGGUGUUGGGGAUCGGCCAAAGCCCGCGAGGGACGGCCGGCCCCUAAAUCUAGUGGCGGACCCGUCGUGGCCUCCUCUGCGAAGUAGUGAUAUUCCGCAUCGGAGAGCGAUGAGCCCCUGCCGUUAAACCCCCAACUUUCCAAGGUUGACCUCAGAUCAGGUAGGAAUACCCGCUGAACUUAAGCAUAUCAAUAAGCGGAGGA
Molecule: unclassified non-coding RNA, 348 nt
Filed under: soil metagenome
Description: partial contains 5.8S ribosomal RNA, internal transcribed spacer 2, and large subunit ribosomal RNA
Rfam family: 5.8S ribosomal RNA (bases 1-120)
Source: RNAcentral